RNAcentral lists this unclassified non-coding RNA (374 nucleotides) under soil metagenome. RNAcentral describes it as "partial contains internal transcribed spacer 2 and large subunit ribosomal RNA". The stretch from base 1 to 120 matches the Rfam family "5.8S ribosomal RNA", at positions 35 to 154 of the family's 154-position model. The record is from RNAcentral.
GAUGAAGAACGCAGCGAAAUGCGAUAAUUAAUGUGAAUUGCAGAAUUCCGUGAAUCAUCGAGUCUUUGAACGCACAUUGCGCCUCAUGGCAUUCCGUGAGGCAUGCCCAUCUCAGCGUUAGAAAAUAUUCUCAAAUUUUAGUUUUGUGCUAAAAUUUGGAUCAUGUCAAGGAAGCUAUUACUAUUAUUGUGAUCGCUCUUUGGAAAUUGAUAGGUCUUUGAGUUGCUACUCAUAGAACGUGAUGAAUCUUUCUUCGUUCUAUUGUAAUUCACUCUGGUAGUCCUAAAACUUGUAUGCCUGUGGUAUAUCUUGUAAUUUGACCUGAGAUUGGGUAGGGAUACCCGCUGAACUUAAGCAUAUCAAUAAGCGGAGGA